GAUACCGCCCUAGUUCUAACCAUAAACGAUGCCAACCAGCGAUCCGCCUGGGUUCCUCAAAUGACUCGGCGGGCAGCUUCCGGGAAACCAAAGUGUUUGGGUUCCGGGGGAAGUAUGGUUGCAAAGCUGAAACUUAAAGGAAUUGACGGAAGGGCACCACCAGGAGUGGAGCCUGCGGCUUAAUUUGACUCAACACGCGAAAACUUACCCGACCCGGACACUGGAAGGAUUGACAGAUUAAGAGCUCUUUCUUGAUUCAGUGGUUGGUGGUGCAUGGCCGUUCUUAGUUGGUGGAGCGAUUUGUCUGGUUAAUUCCGAUAACGAACGAGACUCUAGCCUACUAAAUAGGCGUUCCGAUCACUUCAGUCGGACGUUCUUCUUAGAGGGACAAGCGGCGUUUAGCCGCACGAGACAGAGCAAUAACAGGUCUGUGAUGCCCUUAGAUGUCCGGGGCCGCACGCGCGCUACACUGAAGGAAUCAGCGUGUGCUUUCCCUGUCCGGUAGGACUGGGUAACCCGUUAAACCUCCUUCGUGAUAGGGAUAGGGGCUUGUAAUUGUUCCCCUUGAACGAGGAAUUCCCAGUAAGCACGAGUCAUAAGCUCGUGUUGAUUACGUCCCUGCCCUUUGUACACACCGCCCGUCGCUACUACCGAU
This 655-nucleotide ribosomal RNA is filed under the name Stedocys sp. SC250. RNAcentral describes it as "SSU rRNA". It matches the Rfam family "Eukaryotic small subunit ribosomal RNA", at positions 1011 to 1689 of the family's 1831-position model. Lineage: Eukaryota; Metazoa; Arthropoda; Arachnida; Araneae; Scytodidae. The record is from RNAcentral.